CUACAUUCAGGACCUACAGUAGCAGAGGAGACUGGCCUGUAUCCAAAUGAUCCACAGCAUUGGGGCAGAAAGCUUUGUUCCCUGAGAAGACUCUCUGAGCUGCCUCCCACACAAACAACAGCAGCAUCAACAUCAGCAACAACAAGAGACAUAUUUUGGACUCCACACGUUUUGGAUUCCAGAUUUUGAUCUUGCAGAAAAAAAAGAACUCAAAAGUCCAAGAAGUUUGAGAAGUGACAACCCAUCUAAUAAAGGUACAAUACUCCCAUAUUUUUCUCUUUUCAUCAAUGCAUCAUGACCCUAACUGGCAAAAUGUCUAGCCAAUGACUCCUCCUCUUGCCAGGCUAUAGUUCUUUUUCUCCCUCAUCUUUGCACAGUUCCACUAUAUAUGUUCUAUAUGUGUAAUAUAGCUCCAAAUUGUAUUAUUAUGUUUUUAAAUGUAAUUUUAUCAUUUGAUGUUUGCUAGUCUUGUCUCCCCAGUCAGAGUACGAACUACUUCAGAGUGGAGAUUAUAAUAUUAAUAAUAUUGCAUAUUAGUGAUAUAACAUAUUGGAUUAUUAAUACAAUAUAAUAAUAUGGCAUUAUAGUGAUGACAUGCAAUAUUAAAAAUAGGGUAUGUAAUACUAUCACAUUAUAUGUAAAAUAUGAUAUGUAUCACUAAUAAUAUAUUAUAAGUAUACAAUAUUAUUAUAUAAUAAUAAAUAUGUAAUAUUUCUUUAUCUCCUAAAACA
RNAcentral lists this long non-coding RNA (731 nucleotides) under Phascolarctos cinereus (koala). RNAcentral's name for it is "lncRNA (ENSPCIG00000034971.1)". Lineage: Eukaryota; Metazoa; Chordata; Mammalia; Diprotodontia; Phascolarctidae. The record is from RNAcentral.